RNAcentral lists this ribosomal RNA (449 nucleotides) under uncultured bacterium. RNAcentral describes it as "partial 16S ribosomal RNA". It matches the Rfam family "Bacterial small subunit ribosomal RNA", at positions 29 to 523 of the family's 1533-position model. The record is from RNAcentral.
AACGAACGCUGGCGGCAUGCCUAACACAUGCAAGUCGAACGAGAUCUUCGGGUCUAGUGGCGCACGGGUGCGUAACGCGUGGGAAUCUGCCCUUUGGUUCGGAAUAACAGUUGGAAACGACUGCUAAUACCGGAUGAUGACGAAAGUCCAAAGAUUUAUCGCCAGAGGAUGAGCCCGCGUAGGAUUAGCUAGUUGGUGUGGUAAAGGCGCACCAAGGCGACGAUCCUUAGCUGGUCUGAGAGGAUGAUCAGCCACACUGGGACUGAGACACGGCCCAGACUCCUACGGGAGGCAGCAGUGGGGAAUAUUGGACAAUGGGCGAAAGCCUGAUCCAGCAAUGCUGCGUGAGUGAUGAAGACCUUAGGGUUGUAAAGCUCUUUUACCCGGGAUGAUAAUGACAGUACCGGGAGAAUAAGCUCCGGCUAACUCCGUGCCAGCAGCCGCCGUAA